RNAcentral lists this non-coding RNA (48 nucleotides) under Schistosoma curassoni. The record is from RNAcentral. Lineage: Eukaryota; Metazoa; Platyhelminthes; Trematoda; Strigeidida; Schistosomatidae.
AUCCGGUUGACGGGUCUCGAAUAGGACGAAACGCGCGUCAAACUGGAU